Molecule: long non-coding RNA, 671 nt
Organism: Urocitellus parryii (Arctic ground squirrel)
Lineage: Eukaryota; Metazoa; Chordata; Mammalia; Rodentia; Sciuridae
Source: RefSeq, a predicted model, not a curated record
GCGUGCGCCGAGUCACGCUUCGGGCUGCGACGCAACCGCCGCCGGCCGGCGAGUUGCCGCCAACCGCCUUAACGGCCCAAACAAUGUUAGUGGCUUUCAGUGUGGCGGCGCGUUCACGUUAUCGUCUUCCAGUCCCUUUCGUCAUUUGAUACGGAGUAGGUGGUCUCCAUAGUGACUUUUAAAUUUCACAUUUCUUUGAUAACCUUUGUGAGGUAAAAGAAUCUCCGGCCUUUUACCCUUGACAAAACGAAGGGGGAAAGAGSAGUUAGCACUUGUGUAAAAAUGACGGCAGUUUUGUUCCCAAAUGUAAAAGGGCUGCGAGUCGGAAGUGUAUUUGCUUUGGUUACUACGAAGGCAGGUGCACGAACCGCUUGGGAGCCGGUCCUAGGUAUUAAGUUGCACAAAUUUGAAAAGUGUCUACCAGAGAACCCUCCAAAAAUCGUCGCUGUUCACCAAGGGGCGGUUGUUGCUCAGAAAUUCAUUAAGAAACUCAUCACUUGGGCAUUUGCCUAAGAUUCUUUGAACAAGAAGGAUGAGGAAAUCUUUCAAAGAAUCAAAGCUAUUGAGGAAGGAGGGAAGGGAAAGAGAAAUUAGUGGGGAAGGGAACUAACCAAACUAUAUUGUUAUUCAGUGUGCGUUACAAAUAUGUAGCAACAAAUUCCAGUAUUAUA